RNAcentral lists this ribosomal RNA (1773 nucleotides) under Triticum aestivum (bread wheat). RNAcentral describes it as "partial small subunit ribosomal RNA". Lineage: Eukaryota; Viridiplantae; Streptophyta; Magnoliopsida; Poales; Poaceae. The record is from RNAcentral.
AUGGCGGCGGCGGAGAUACUGGCCGUGGAGAGCGGCACCGGGCGGCAGGAGUACGUGCAGGACGGGUCGGUGGAUCUCCGGGGCAACCCCGUGCUCCGGUCCAAGAGGGGCGGCUGGACCGCCUGCUCAUUCAUCGUAGUGUACGAGCUGUUCGAGCGGAUGGCCUACUACGGGAUCGCGUCCAACCUCUUCGUCUACCUCACGGAGAAGAUGCACCAGGGCACGGUGGAGGCGUCCAACAACGUCACCAACUGGUCCGGCGUCGUCUUCAUCACGCCUCUGAUCGGAGCCCACCUCGCCGACGCCUACCUCGGCCGCUACUGGACCUUCGUCAUCGGCUCCGCCAUCUAUUUCAUGGGGAUGAUGCUACUAACGCUGGCCGUGACGGUGGGAGCGCUCAAACCUCCGCCAUGCGUCGACAAACUCUGCCCAUCGCCGUCAGCCCUGCAGGUGGGCGUCUACUUCGGCGGGCUGUACAUCGUCGCCUUGGGCAACGGCGGCACAAAGCCUAAUAUCUCAACCAUGGGCGCGGACCAGUUCGACGACUUCGAUGCCCGGGAGAAGACCCACAAGCUCUCCUUCUUCAACUGGUGGAUGUUCACCAUUUUCACGGGCAUCCUCUUCUCCUCAACAGUCCUCGUCUACCUCCAGGACAACGUGAGCUGGUCUGUCGGCUAUGGCAUCCCCACUCUUGGCCUCGUCGUCUCCAUCGUCAUCUUCCUCGUCGGCACGCCUAUGUACCGCCACAAGGUGCCUCAGGGCAGCGCAAUCACGCGCAUUGGCAAGGUGCUCGCCUCCGCGCUGUGCAAACAACGCCUACCCUUGCCGGCGAACGCCGAUGAGCUGCAUGAGCUGGAGCAAGAGGCGUACACGAGGAAGCACAAGUUCCGGAUGGAAUCCACGAACGACAUGUGGUUCCUCAACAAGGCAUCCGUGAAGGACGUCGGUGGCGAGUCCUCGACCUCAAAAUGGAGCCUCUGCACGGUGACGGAGGUGGAGGAGACAAAGCAGAUCUUGAAGCUGGUCCCUUUUGUCGUGACCAUGUUCAUACCUUGCACGCUCAUCGCCCAGACCAACACCCUGUUCGUGAAGCAGGGCACGACCAUGAAUCGGCACAUGGGGCCACACUUCGAGAUCCCGCCGGCCAGCCUCGGCGCGUUCGUCACGCUCUCCAUGCUCAUCACCAGCGUGGUCUACGACCGGCUGUUCGUCAAGGCCGCGCGAAGGUACACCAAUAACCCAAGGGGCAUCACCCUCCUCACGAGGAUGGGCAUCGGGCAGGUGAUCCAAGUCGUGACGAUGGCGACGGCGGCGCUCACCGAGAACCGGCGCCUGAGCUACGCGCGGAGCCAUGGGCUGGACGUGACCGGUGGCCACCUCCCCCUCACCAUCUUCGUCCUCCUGCCACAGUACGUGCUGAUGGGCCUGGCGGACGGGUUCGUGCUCGCGGGCGAGAUCGAGUUCUUCUACGACCAGGCGCCCGAGAGCAUGAAGAGCCUCGGCACGGCGCUGUCGCUCACCGCGUACGGCGUGGGCAACGUCCUUAGCAGCUUCUUCUUGUCACUGGUGGCGCGGGUGACGCGCGAGAGGACGGGCAAAGCCUGGGUGUCCAACAACCUCAACGCCUCGCACCUCGACUAUUACUACGCGUUCCUCACGUUGCUCGCGGUCGCCAACUGUGUCGCCUUCGCUGCGCUCGCCAGCAGGUACAAGUACAAGGUGGAGUCUACUAAGACCAUCGACAUCGACGUGGACGUGCAGCUCAAGCGAUAG